This is a long non-coding RNA of Hypanus sabinus (Atlantic stingray), 2109 nucleotides long. RefSeq lists it as uncharacterized. The record is from RefSeq and is a predicted model, not a curated record. The transcript has 3 exons. Lineage: Eukaryota; Metazoa; Chordata; Chondrichthyes; Myliobatiformes; Dasyatidae.
CUUAAUUACCUAGUAGAAGUUGUAUGAAACAUAUUCCAUGAUCUGUAACAAAAAUUGCUGGGAAUAACUGUUUUAUUUAUAGACUCUGGUGUCCAUGGCAACCUAGUUUAAGUGGAGAGGUCAUGGGGUGAGCUGGGCCUCGAUUUCACACUGCUCAUGAGGGAGUUUGGUCACACUGCAAUCUGCAGAUUUUCAAGCCAGGUGGUUAUUUGAUCCUGUGAGCAGUGAAACUGUUGACCCAAGAAGACGUGGCUUUUCUGCAUUAUUCGGAGAAAAAUGCAUGUGAAGUAGAACUUAAAAUGUAUUAAUUUAGAUUUCAAUUAAUUAAUACUUCUUGAUAUCACCGGUGUAAUCAACACUGGCCAAUUUGGAAAGAAACUUACAAAUACAAAAUACGGAAGUUUUAAGUCAGUACUUAUAAUGAAUAAAGUCAACAUUUUAAUGCUGAUAACUUGUGCAUUGGUAGAGCUGAGUCGACGGAAAGGAAGGUGCCAAAUACAAGGACAUUGUGCAAGUGAAGUCAUGGGGGAAAGCAAGGCUACCUUCCGGAAUGAUAUAGAAUUGUAUACCAGAAUUCUCUGAUCUUCACUGAAACAGUGUAUAAGAUUGUUUCCAUAAAUUGGCAGAUAUAACUUGAAUGCCAUGUAUUCACCCAUAAGGCCAAGAUGACACCGACCGUGAUUGGGAAGAUCCUGACAAUGAGGAGAAAAGUCAUUCAAGCAUGGAAGGAGCCAAUGAAAGGAGGAAGAUGGUAUUGAUAAAGAUGCAUCAUCACUCAAUUUCAUCCUCACAGCUUACGAACUAAGAUUGUGUAAAAUUAUUGAGAAUUGAGAACCCUGCCGGGAAACAUGUAGUAACUCUCAAUACAUGUGGUAUUGGAGGAGAUGAGAAUCAAUUUGGCACAGGGCUUUGCCCACAACCUGAAGCCCAUCAUUUUUUAAGAAAGAAAAUGUUUUCUAAAUCUGUUAGCAAAAUGGUGGACCAAGCACAAUGAAAUUUUCCAGCAUUUUCUGUUUUUAUAAUGAAUUAUCUGAUGCCAAUGUUGCGGCUUCCAAUGCAGCAUAACAAGCAGCAGCUGUCUGAUUGCUGUAUUGGAAGCACAGAAUGCCAUAGUGCAAUUCAUUUUGCUGCCAAACAAAACAUUCCUUCUUCUUAAGCCCUUUACCCUUACCUUUUCCACCUAUCCUCUUCCAGCUUAUGACUUCAUUUCCCCUCCCCCACCCACCUACCCAACACUUGGUCACACUUAUCACCAGCCAGCUUGCACUCGUUCCACUCCUCCCCCAUCUUCUUAUUGUGACCUCUGCCCUUUCCUUUCUUGUCCUGACGGACGGUCUCACCCUGAAACAUGGACUGUUUAUUUCCCUCCAUAGAAACUACCUGACUUGCUGAGUCCCUCCAGCAUUUUGUGAUGGUUAUUCAAGCCACGGAUGUUGGUCACCAUGCACAUGGGUGCUUGUAGGUCUCAAAACACACUAACAAUUUGUCCUCCCAUAAAAUGAAAAACAGUCGUAAGUAAGUGGUUAAGGGUCUAUGGAGCAGGAGGUUUGCUCUCCUGCCAUCUUUUCCAUAGGAUGUGUACUCAGUUCCUCGGUCUUGUUGCUCAACUGGUAAGUCUAUCUGGACCUAGCUAAAAUAAUUCAGUCAAAACUUUAAGGACUCUUCUAUCAGCCAUGCUGGAGCCACUAAGUGGUUGCUUGGGAGGACUGGGACGGGCAUCUACUAAAAGCACUGCCACAGGAAAGCAGUAUCCAUCAUCAAGGACACCCACCAUUCAGGCCAUGUUCUCUUCUCGGUACUACCAUCGGGCAUGAGGCACAGGAGCCUUAGGUCUCACACCACUAGGCUCAGGAACAGUUAGUACCCUACAACCAUCAAGCUCCUGAGCCAGUGUGUAUAACUUCACUCACCUCAACUCUGAACUGAACCUAAAAUUUAGUGACAGACCCACUUUCAAGGACUCUAAAAGCCAUUUCAUCAGUAUUUUUUUUUGUUUGGCACACGUUGUCUCCUUUUGCUCUUAGGCUGUUUGUCAGACUUUGCUUAUGUAUAGUUUCAAAAAAUUAUAUUGAAUUUCACAGUGACAUAUACACGUGUACUUUGAUAAUA